UACGUAGGGGGCUAGCGUUGUCCGGAUUUAUUGGGCGUAAAGAGCGUGUAGGCGGUUAGGUAGGUCCGGUGUGAAAACUCGAGGCUUAACCUCGAGAGGUCGCCGGAAACCAUCUGGCUAGAGUCCGGAAGAGGAGAGUGGAAUUCCUGGUGUAGCGGUGAAAUGCGCAGAUAUCAGGAAGAACACCAAUGGCGAAAGCAGCUCUCUGGGACGGUACUGACGCUGAGACGCGAAAGCGUGGGGAGCAAACAGG
Molecule: ribosomal RNA, 253 nt
Filed under: uncultured bacterium
Lineage: Bacteria
Description: partial 16S ribosomal RNA
Rfam family: Bacterial small subunit ribosomal RNA
Source: RNAcentral